UACUAGAGUAGCACUCGCAUAUCAAUAAGCGGAGGAAAAGAAACUAACAAGGAUUCCCCUAGUAACGGCGAGUGAAGCGGGAAGAGCUCAAAUUUGAAAUCUUAAAGGGUUUCCCUUUACGAAUUGUAGUUUAAAGAAGUGUUUUCUGUUGAGGUUUUGGUAAAAGUUCUUUGGAAUAGGACAUCAUAGAGGGUGAGAAUCCCGUAUUUGACCAUUACUUUCCAACUGUGUGAUACACUUUCAAAGAGUCGGAUUGUUUGGGAAUGCAGUCCAAAAUGGGUGGUAAAUUUCAUCUAAAGCUAAAUAUUGGCGAGAGACCGAUAGCGAACAAGUACCGUGAGGGAAAGAUGAAAAGAACUUUGAAAAGAGAGUUAAACAGUACGUGAAAUUGUCAAAAGGGAAGCGUUUGACACCAGUGUUGUUUUUCUGAAAAUCAAUUAAAGAACUGUUUAUGCUAAGUUGUUUAGACUUUAUCAGCUAUCUGUUUAGUUUUGAGCUUUUCUUUAAUGCACUUUUCAGUUAACAAGUCAACAUCAAUUUCUUUUGCUGUAAAAAAGCUUGAGGAAGGUGGCUUGAGAUUCGUCUUAAGUGUUUAUAGCCUCUUGCCUAUGCAGUCGGAGAGAUUGAGGUCUGCAGCGUAGAUCCUUCGGGGCUAAAUGCAUUUGUGCUAAGUUAUAGCAUUUUAUAGACAACUUGUUGACUAUGAUUUGUCUUGUAGCUUACUCGCUUAUGUUAUUUUACCUACGCUUAGGAUGUUGAAGACUCUACAGAGAUA
Molecule: ribosomal RNA, 775 nt
Filed under: uncultured Neocallimastigales
Lineage: Eukaryota; Fungi; Neocallimastigomycota; Neocallimastigomycetes; Neocallimastigales
Description: partial large subunit ribosomal RNA
Rfam family: Eukaryotic large subunit ribosomal RNA
Source: RNAcentral